RNAcentral lists this ribosomal RNA (248 nucleotides) under Escherichia coli. RNAcentral describes it as "partial 16S ribosomal RNA". It matches the Rfam family "Bacterial small subunit ribosomal RNA", at positions 83 to 334 of the family's 1533-position model. Lineage: Bacteria; Pseudomonadati; Pseudomonadota; Gammaproteobacteria; Enterobacterales; Enterobacteriaceae. The record is from RNAcentral.
CUUUGCUGACGAGUGGCGGACGGGUGAGUAAUGUCUGGGAAACUGCCUGAUGGAGGGGGAUAACUACUGGAAACGGUAGCUAAUACCGCAUAACGUCGCAAGACCAAAGAGGGGGACCUUAGGGCCUCUUGCCAUCGGAUGUGCCCAGAUGGGAUUAGCUAGUAGGUGGGGUAAAGGCUCACCUAGGCGACGAUCCCUAGCUGGUCUGAGAGGAUGACCAGCCACACUGGAACUGAGACACGGUCCAG